GCAGAUUCCGUGACCAUCGAAUCUUUGAACGCAAAUUGCGCCCAAGGCUUCGGCCGAGGGCAUGUCUGCCUCAGCGUCGGCUU
Molecule: ribosomal RNA, 83 nt
Filed under: Auxenochlorella pyrenoidosa
Lineage: Eukaryota; Viridiplantae; Chlorophyta; Trebouxiophyceae; Chlorellales; Chlorellaceae
Description: partial 5.8S ribosomal RNA
Rfam family: 5.8S ribosomal RNA
About the family: 5.8S ribosomal RNA (5.8S rRNA) is a component of the large subunit of the eukaryotic ribosome. It is transcribed by RNA polymerase I as part of the 45S precursor that also contains 18S and 28S rRNA.
Source: RNAcentral